Non-coding RNA from Arvicanthis niloticus (Nile rat), 1013 nucleotides. The record is from RefSeq and is a predicted model, not a curated record. Lineage: Eukaryota; Metazoa; Chordata; Mammalia; Rodentia; Muridae.
CGGUUCCGGUGUAGCGGAUCGGGUUCGCCAUGACACCUCAAACGGGAGUACUCAUCGUUUUCCCACUUGCGCUUGGUGUAGCCAGCAAUGAAGGUGGCUGCUAUAUACUGCAUGGAGUCCAAGUCUAAGGUGGUCAGCUAUGUCAGGAUGAAGCUAACUAUCUCCUUCCCAGCCACUGAUUGCCAGCCACUCCUGGAAGAUGAAUGCAAGCUCUGUACCUUCCAGGAGAAGCGAAUGUCACAGAAGUAGUUGCUGAUCCUAUGGGUGAAUAGUCUGCAUGGUCUGAACCAGUGGUGAGAACAGCAAACAAGGAUUUCCCUUAAAAGGUCCCAGCAAGGUGUCUGGACCCACAGCAGAGUGCACCUGCUGUUGUCUAACACUCUUCUGAGAGACCAAGGGAAGCUGGAGAGAGGGGACAGAGUCCGUCCGCAGACGCAUUAUGGAUGCCAGUCUGAGUCCUCAACUUGGUUAUCAUAAGCAAAGGAGACAAGGAGAUUCCUGGGCUGACAGAUAGUACUGUGCCUCUGCGGUUGGGGCCCAAAAGAACUGCAGAAUCUGAAAGCUUUUCAGUCUUCCUAAAGAAGCUGAGGGUGUCGGCCAGUACAUUGUCAGAAAGUAAGCAAAGGUAAGAAGGCCAGGACUAAAGCCCCAGAGACCCCGCGUCGUCACUCCACAAUUCCUGCAACAAAACACCCGUUGUAUUGUUCUGUAGAGACGGUGUGCUAUGGAGACCAAGGAGAGGCUGCAGAGCUGAGUGUUGGGCCAAGAGAAUGAAGGAAGCCAGAGAAAACAUGCCAGGGUCAGACCGCAUGUAAGCUGCUUCUACUUCCAAGUCUAAGUCCAGUAAAAAUGAGUAACCAAAAAUGGUACAACCUUCAAAAAAUACUUCUUUGGGGGCAGCAGUGGGUAAGGGCGCUUACAUCCAAGUCUGCUGACCUGAGCGCCAUCCCUGGGACCUACCUGGUGGAAGAAGAGAACGGACUCCAGCAAGUUGUCCUCUGUCUCCCAUGUGU